This 492-nucleotide ribosomal RNA is filed under the name uncultured bacterium. Its description in RNAcentral is "partial 16S ribosomal RNA". It matches the Rfam family "Bacterial small subunit ribosomal RNA", at positions 29 to 507 of the family's 1533-position model. The record is from RNAcentral.
AGUGAACGCUGGCGGUAGGCCUAACACAUGCAAGUCGAACGGCAGCACCGUAUGAGCUUGCUCUUACGGGUGGCGAGUGGCGGACGAGUGAGGAAUACAUCGGAAUUUACUUGUUCGCGAGGGAUAACGUAGGGAAACUUACGCUAAUAACGCAUACGACCUACGGGUGAAAGCAGGGGGUCUUCGGACCCUGCGUGCUUGAAUGAGCCGAUGUCGGAUUAGCUAGUUGGCGGGGUAAAGGCCUACCAAGGCGACGAUCCGUAGCUGGUCUGCGAGGGUGAGCGGCCACAGUGGAACUGGGACUGGGUCCAGACUCCGACUGGAGGGAGCGGUAGGGGAGAUUGGACUAGGGGCGCAAGCCGGAUCCAGACGUACCGCGUGGGUGAAGGAGGCCUUCGGGUUGGAAAGCCCUUUUGUUGGGAAAGAAAAGCAGCAGGUUAAUACCCCGCUGUUCUGACGGUACCCAAAGAAUAAGCACCGGCUAACUUCGUG